CCCAGCCCUGUACCGGUAAGUCCCCAUUUCUACUUUCACCCCUGUCUGUAUCCCAUACCUUAAGGUCAUAUCUGAGUGUUUGCAUUGUAAUUCUCUGUAACUGUAAAUCACCAGAUAGGAAAGCAUUAAUGAGUGUGAAAUUCUAGUUUCCAACAGGAGGUGUUAUCUCCAGCCCACCAAUACCAGAUGAACUACUGUGGAACAUCAAAGGACAAAACACUUUGUUCAUUGCUCUCCCCACCCCAUGAAGAGGAGCUUAGAGAGGAAAAGAAGGGAAUAAAAAUCCCUGACAAGGAGAAACUGUAUCUCUGUGCUGCUUGGACUCCGGGAAGAAAAGGUUUUCUAGGCAUCAGUAGGAGAUCCCCAGCAUUUAGCCUGGGACAUAUAAAGCUUGCUUAUUAUAGACGCGUCUAUUACAUUUUGAAACUUAAGACUGUAACUCAUUUGUGUGUGUAUGUUUAACUGCUUUAACCUUUUUAAUAACUCUGAUUUCCUCUUCCUCAUUAAUAAAAUCUUUAGAUAGUUCAUUAUAGGCUUGGCUACAAGCGUUAUCUUUGGUGUGAGAUCUAAGGGGCAUCUGACCUGAGCAGAAAGUAGAGAUACUGGGACUCAGAAUGAAUGGAAGGAGCAGCGAACAAGACUGGAAGCGGCUCCAAGUGGCAUAGCCUCCAGAGACCCAAGGGAAUGGGGCACAAGUCAGGCUGUCCCCACACUAUAUCUGCACAAGCCUUGCCAGAGACAGGCUGCAAGAACCCAUGGGCUGGGAAGACAGCCUCAAGAGGAGAUGGGCAGAGAGGGAAGUGACCUCAGGAAUGUCUCACUCUGAUGCCGCUAUUAGGAAUCGUGGGAUUGUUACUAUUUCCAUCAGGGGACACCAUGGGGAUUGUGGGUAAAGAAAACAGAGCUUCUGAGAACUGGCAGGGCUGGACUGUGGGCAGGACAUGUGAUCCAAGGCCCUUCCUCCCACCUCCUUUUCAAAUUAGCCCUGCAGAAGUCUUUGCCCAUGGAGGUUCCCACAGGAUGGACACUCCCAAUCUCUUUCCCACCCCAAUUCAGUUGUGGGGCCGGGGAAGGUCAGAAUUCUUUUUGGCCAAAAUCUGCCUUUGAAAUGACAGUGAAUGUCAUGUGGGCAAUGGAAAAGGAUAAACUGCUACGAGCAGAAUGUCAGCAUUAGGCAUUAAGGGAUUCUAAAGGGGGAGUGAGAGAGAGUACCUAGCUUCCAACAUGGCUUCCGCCCUCCUCUCCCCAGUCUGUCUCUUCUCUCCUCUGCUGAGCAGACACUACACAUCCACUCUGCUGUGCUCACAAGUGCUCUAGGCCGCUCCACCAUGUGGAAGUGUCCCUCUCCACACUAGUGAGACCCUGGAACUAACCAACAGGUCCUACUCUGUCCCUUCCAAGGCAACCAAUGAAUUAAACAGCACCUUGGCACCACUUUGACUCGCAUUUUGUACGUGUAGAUUAAAUGGCAGUUUGCCCACAAUCAUCCACAUCUUCAAUAGGCUAGCUCAGUCAGAGUGUUUCUCAAAUGUGGCCACCGUGGCUGUAUGCGGCCACCAGGGCCUUUUCUUGUGACCACAGCCUACUGGUCCGGGAGGUGGGGGUACAAAGCAGUGGCCCCUCUCCCAGAGCUACUAACAGCGGUUGGGCCCUGCCCCCCUCUGGAGACAGAAAUGCUGGAGGUGCAGGCAGCUGGCGCAACCACAAUAGCAAAAGAAACAACAAAAAAGACAAGAACCAUGCAAAGCACCUUAUUUGUGUGUCUAUUCCGUUUAUGUUCGGUAAAGAAUAGAGACAACUGUAAAUUACUUUUAUUAUUGAGUCUAAAAAACACUACAGAAAUAAAUUAUAGUGAUUUGGA
Molecule: long non-coding RNA, 1861 nt
Organism: Mauremys reevesii (Reeves's turtle)
Lineage: Eukaryota; Metazoa; Chordata; Testudines; Geoemydidae
Exons: 2
Source: RefSeq, a predicted model, not a curated record